RNAcentral lists this ribosomal RNA (472 nucleotides) under uncultured Methanomicrobiales archaeon. RNAcentral's name for it is "bacterial SSU rRNA". It matches the Rfam family "Archaeal small subunit ribosomal RNA", at positions 871 to 1337 of the family's 1478-position model. Lineage: Archaea; Methanobacteriati; Methanobacteriota; Methanomicrobia; Methanomicrobiales. The record is from RNAcentral.
AGACGGGGAGCACCACGAACGGGUGGAGCUUGCGGUUUAAUUGGAUCAACGCCGGAAAUCUUACCGGGACCGACAGCAAUAUGAAGGCCAGGCUGAAGACUUUGCCGGAUUAGCUGAGAGGAGGUGCAUGGCCGUCGUCAGUUCGUACUGUGAAGCAUCCUGUUAAGUCAGGCAACGAGCGAGACCCACGCCAACAGUUGCCAGCAUGUCCUCCGGGAUGAUGGGGACACUGUUGGGACCGCCUCUGCUAAAGAGGAGGAAGGAAUGGGCAACGGUAGGUCAGCAUGCCCCGAAUUAUCUGGGCUACACGCGGGCUACAAUGGGUGGGACAAUGGGUAUCGACACCGAAAGGUGAAGGCAAUCUCCUAAACCCAUCCGUAGUUCGGAUUGUGGGCUGCAACUCGCCCACAUGAAGCUGGAAUCUGUAGUAAUCGUGUCUCAAAAUGGCACGGUGAAUAUGUCCCUGCUCCUU